GCUGGGCAUGGUGGCAGGCGCCUGUAAUCCCAGUUACUCGAGAGGCUAAGGCAGGAGAAUCACUUGAAGCCGAGAGGUGGAGGUUGCAGUGAGCCAAGAUUAAGCCGCUGCACUCCAGCCUAGGUGACAGAGUGAGACUCCGUCUCNNNNNNNNNNCCUAGGCUGGAGUGCAGCGGCUUAAUCUUGGCUCACUGCAACCUCCACCUCUCGGCUUCAAGUGAUUCUCCUGCCUUAG
RNAcentral lists this signal recognition particle RNA (235 nucleotides) under Chlorocebus sabaeus (green monkey). RNAcentral's name for it is "Metazoan signal recognition particle RNA". It matches the Rfam family "Metazoan signal recognition particle RNA". From Rfam's summary of the family: The signal recognition particle (SRP) is a universally conserved ribonucleoprotein. It is involved in the co-translational targeting of proteins to membranes. Lineage: Eukaryota; Metazoa; Chordata; Mammalia; Primates; Cercopithecidae. The record is from Rfam by way of RNAcentral.